Molecule: ribosomal RNA, 468 nt
Filed under: uncultured bacterium
Lineage: Bacteria
Description: partial 16S ribosomal RNA
Rfam family: Bacterial small subunit ribosomal RNA
Source: RNAcentral
GACGAACGCUGGCGGCGUGCUUAACACAUGCAAGUCGAACGGAAAGGCCCUGCUUUUGUGGGGUGCUCGAGUGGCGAACGGGUGAGUAACACGUGAGUAACCUGCCCUGGACUUUGGGAUAACUUCAGGAAACUGGGGCUAAUACCGGAUAGGAGCUCCUGCUGCAUGGUGGGGGUUGGAAAGUUUCGGCGGUUGGGGAUGGACUCGCGGCUUAUCAGCUUGUUGGUGGGGUAGUGGCUUACCAAGGCUUUGACGGGUAGCCGGCCUGAGAGGGGGACCGGCCACAUGACGACUGCGGGACGGACCAGAGUCGAACGGGAGGCAGCGGGGGGGAACCUGACACAGUGGUCCGGCGCGUGAUGCGGCAGUCUCCGGAGCGGGAUGCCCGCUAAGGUGUUGUAAACCGCAUUCGCCUGAGACGUAGCGGGAGUGACGGUAACGGCUAAAUAAGCACCGGCUAACUACGUG